CACGCAGGCCUGUCUGGGGUAGUGCACGCAAGGAUACCAAUCUGUGGCAUGAACUUGGGCCUGGUGAUGGGAGAUGGGUGAGCAAAAGAGCUGACAAGUGCACCUGCUCUUUAGCACAGUGAGACCUGUCCUGGAGGCCAGAGCUCAAACCGAGGCUCAGAGAUCUGGUUAGUCCUGAAACAAAGGUCUCCUGAUUCCUGCUUUCUUUUCACCAGGUUGCUGCACUGGGGCCUGCCUUCCAGGAGAGUCAUUAUUGGCAAGGGUGAGUUUCUGGGGGAAAUGAAUAUGUGCUGAGAGGGAGGGAAGGCAGUAGAGGGACCCCCAAGAGGGUAAAGAGAGGGCAGUGGAAGGGGGGGGGCGAGGACAACCUCUCCUACCCUCUCAGUUUGCUGAGGUCUCUGAGGUUAGGCCUUCUCAGGUCUCACUGCCACCUUCUCCACCUCUUUCAAUUUGCCUGUCUUUGUGUGGUUGAAGCCGACCUAGCAUAAAAUAACACAUUUUUCCGCUUUUUCGCACAUUUUGAAAGCAAAGACAGGCUUUAAUGAUCAGUUUUCUGUUCCUUGGUAUUUUCUUUUGAGCAAAGGCUGUGUUUUUAUAAGAUACUACAUUUCAAUGGGCUAUUCUUUCCAUCCUGACAAACAUUCCUGAGUGGUAGGUUUUAGGAGGCAUUCCAAUUUAUUGCUUCUGGUGUCCAAUAACCUUGGAAUGAGUAUCUGUCUCCAUGCCCCCCAAGGCCAUGUUAUUUCAGAAAGUUACAGCUCUUAAAAUCGUUCUCUAAUAAAAGCGAGUGCCACUAAUUCUAAGUAAAGUGAGCUUUCCAAAUAAAACCAGCUGUGAACAUUUAAAAAAAAAAAA
Hipposideros armiger (great roundleaf bat) is the source of this 855-nucleotide long non-coding RNA. RefSeq lists it as uncharacterized. The record is from RefSeq and is a predicted model, not a curated record. The transcript is spliced from 2 exons. NCBI's taxonomy places the organism in Eukaryota, Metazoa, Chordata, Mammalia, Chiroptera, Hipposideridae.